This 460-nucleotide ribosomal RNA is filed under the name uncultured bacterium. Its description in RNAcentral is "partial 16S ribosomal RNA". It matches the Rfam family "Bacterial small subunit ribosomal RNA", at positions 338 to 795 of the family's 1533-position model. The record is from RNAcentral.
CCUACGGGGGGCAGCAGUGAGGAAUAUUGGUCAAUGGACGAGAGUCUGAACCAGCCAAGUAGCGUGAAGGAUGACUGCCCUAUGGGUUGUAAACUUCUUUUAUAUGGGAAUAAAAUGUUCCACGUGUGGGAUUUUGUAUGUACCAUAUGAAUAAGGCUCGGCUAACUCCGUGCCAGCAGCCGCGGUAAUACGGAGGAUCCGAGCGUUAUCCGGAUUUAUUGGGUUUAAAGGGAGCGUAGGUGGAUUGUUAAGUCAGUUGUGAAAGUUUGCGGCUCAACCGUGAAAUUGCAGUUGAAACUGGCAGGCUUGAGUACAGUAGAGGUGGGCGGAAUUCGUGGUGUAGCGGUGAAAUGCUUAGAUAUCACGAAGAACUCCGAUGGCGAAGGCAGCUCACUGGACUGCAACUGACACUGAGGCUCGAAAGUGUGGGUAUCAAACAGGAUUAGAUACCCGGGUAGUC